GGGUUUCUCUCCUGUGUGGACCAGCAGGUGUCGCUUGAGUCUACUGGCGAAGGGGAACUCUUUCUUGCAGUAACAACAACGAUGCUGCGGCGUCUGAACUCCAUGAAGAUGAAUGUGCAAGAACAGGUGCUGGUGGUAACACUACGUAUUCAAGGAAAGAAAUGCAAAGAAAUUAUAGAGGUUUAAAAGAAAAUUCCAUAAGCCAGGUCCUACAGACAAGACAAUACGCGAAUUGUUGAAUAAAUUCAAAAGAACGGGAUCUGUUAACGAUGAACCAAGACCUGGACGUCUGCAUGUCUCAGAAGAUGCUGUAAAUGCAGUAAGAAAUGCUAUCACAGGAGAACCACGCAUGUCAAUUCGUGCCGCAUUAAGUCUUUCAGCAAGAUGGUGCACCUUGUCACUACGCAAACAUUGUUUGGGAGUACCGGUACCUAAAUGAACGAUUUCCAGAUCAGUGGAUUGGACGUGGAAGCAACAGGCCCUGGGUGGCUAAAUCGCCAGAUUUAGCCAUUACAAUGUGCAGAUCUGCAGGACUUACGGACACACAUUGUAACGGCAUUUAACAAAAUAACCCAUGAAAUGCUCCAGGAUGUGUUCAGAAAUGCUGCGGAAAGAUUUGAGCUCUGUAGAGAUAUUGAUGGUGCACACAUAUAGAACCUUAUUCUUAAGUAUUCAAUAAAUGUAUACCUUCUAUCGUUUUAAAUUUGAAUUUAACACAGCUAUCCGUUAUAUCACUGAAAUAGAUAGGGACUUUAUAAACACCCUGUAUAUGAAGUUCUCAACUGGCAACCAAAUUUGUACUGUUUACAGACAGACAGCAUCAAUGGUGUGUCAUCCAACCUUCCAGGCGGGAGGUAAAAAGGGAAAGAUAUAUGGCGAAAUGAAAAUAAAAAUGACUUUGCAUAAUGUGUCUUAGGUCAAACAAGGUCCAUCUAAUGUGUUUUUGUAAUUAUGGUCAAGUGCCUUGCCCCUGCAGUCAAGUCCAAGCAGGAGCAGGUAUCAAUAACUAACCUUAGAUCUUGUAUAGUUUUAUAAUGUAUUAAUAUCCCGAGUUUGGUUGUAACCCAUUUUCAUUACUCGGAGUUAUCAUAUAUACACAUACACAUAAAAAAAUUAUAAUUAACACAAUAGUGUGUCCUGGUCACAUGAUAUGAAAACAGUUUGGAGAAUUCAGGAAACAUUGAGGAUCAGUCCUGAAAUUAUUUCAGUAGAGUUUGAUGGAAAUAUAUUAAGAUAAGGGAACUAAAACACAGACAUGGUGAUGUUAUAAACAAACUUUAUUUUAAUUUGUAGUUUAUUUCUCUAUAGUUUCAAUGUUCAACACAUUUUACAGAAAACCCAACAAAAUAAUUAUAUUUGGUAACUAAUUUCUUUGCAAGCUUGUCACCAAUGUCCAUUUGGAACAGUGGGCACAGCACAUUGUAGACUAAUCCUUUUUUUUUUUUUUUGGUACGAAAGGGAGCAACGUCACUGGCACUGCACUUGACUGCCUACAAUUCCCCAUCUGUAAAUGUAGGUAUCUAGUUUCAGCUAGGUGAACUGAGGGUACCCUUGGCACAAACCAGUGACCCUUAGGACUGGAGGUAAACAAUGUAUCCACUCAGCUACGACUCCCGUUACUUGUAACUUAUACUGAAACCUUUUAAAUCUAAUUUACUAACAGCCUACAUCAUUGAGAUCUCAAGUACAGUAUAGCUAUUUAUCUUUUUUAUUUACCAGCAUAUAUCCUUCCUCACAGUUGGUCCUUUCUAACAGUAGUGUACAGUAUCUGAUAUUACAGGUGUUGGCAAAUAUUUCACUUUACAUCUACAACUGUGAAGUGACUGUACUACACGGACUUGAGCAGAAAACAAAGUGAAGAUACUACAGUAUUUAAAUAAAGAUUCAAGACAGAUAUAAGUAAUUUUAAGUACUGUACAAUAACAUAACAAAUUUCAAACAAUAAAAAGUUUUUAAAAUGAUUACAUUUUGUCAUGAUUCUAAAAAUAAAGAUAAAACUAAC
This 2002-nucleotide long non-coding RNA is filed under the name Homarus americanus (American lobster). RNAcentral's name for it is "uncharacterized LOC121861221". Lineage: Eukaryota; Metazoa; Arthropoda; Malacostraca; Decapoda; Nephropidae. The record is from RNAcentral.